GAUGAACGCUGGCGGCGUGCUUAACACAUGCAAGUCGAACGAAGCACUUUAUUCGAUUUUCUUCGGAGAUGAAGAUUUAGUGACUGAGUGGCGGACGGGUGAGUAACGCGUGGAUAACCUGCCUCACACUGGGGGAUAACAGUUAGAAAUGACUGCUAAUACCGCAUAAGCGCACAGUACCGCAUGGUAUGGUGUGAAAAACUCCGGUGGUGUGAGAUGGAUCUGCGUUUGAUUAGCCAGUUGGCGGGGUAACGGCCCACCAAAGCGACGAUCAAUAGCCCACCUGAGAGGGUGAGCGGCCACAUUGGGACUGAGAAACGGCCCAAACUCCUACGGGAGGCAGCAGUGGGGAAUAUUGCGCAAUGGGGGAAACCCUGACGCAGCGACGCCGCGUGAGCGAUGAAGUAUUUCGGUAUGUAAAGCUCUAUCAGCAGGGAAGAAUAAAUGACGGUACCUGACUAAGAAGCCCCGGCUAACUACGUGCCAGCAGCCGCCGCUG
RNAcentral lists this ribosomal RNA (499 nucleotides) under uncultured bacterium. RNAcentral describes it as "partial 16S ribosomal RNA". It matches the Rfam family "Bacterial small subunit ribosomal RNA", at positions 28 to 523 of the family's 1533-position model. The record is from RNAcentral.